This 72-nucleotide transfer RNA is filed under the name Pristurus rupestris rupestris. RNAcentral's name for it is "tRNA-Ile". It matches the Rfam family "tRNA". Rfam says of the family: Transfer RNA (tRNA) molecules are approximately 80 nucleotides in length. Their secondary structure includes four short double-helical elements and three loops (D, anti-codon, and T loops). Lineage: Eukaryota; Metazoa; Chordata; Lepidosauria; Squamata; Sphaerodactylidae. The record is from RNAcentral.
GGACGUGUGCCCGACAGUUAAAGGACUACUUUGAUAGAGUAACUCAUGGGGGUUUAAUUCCCCCCACCUCCU